GACGAACGCUGGCGGCGUGCUUAACACAUGCAAGUCGAACGUGAUCCGUGCCGUGAAGUCUUCGGAUGGAAUGGUAUGGUGAAAGUGGCGGACGGGCGAGUAACGCGUGAGCAACCUGCCCUAUGCAGGGGGAUAACACCGGGAAACCGGUGCUAAUACCGCAUAAGACCACACCAACGCAUGUUGGAGUGGUAAAAGCUGAGGCGGCAUAGGAUGGGCUCGCGUCCAAUUAGCUAGUUGGUAGGGUAACGGCCUACCAAGGCGACGAUUGGUAGCCGAACUGAGAGGUUGGUCGGCCGCAUUGGGACUGAGACACGGCCCAGACUCCUACGGGAGGCAGCAGUGGGGAAUAUUGCGCAAUGGGGGAAACCCUGACGCAGCGACGCCGCGUGAAGGAAGAAGGCCUUCGGGUUGUAAACUUCUUUGAUCGGGGACGAAGAUGACGGUACCCGAGGAACAAGCCACGGCUAACUACGUG
This 478-nucleotide ribosomal RNA is filed under the name uncultured bacterium. Its description in RNAcentral is "bacterial SSU rRNA". It matches the Rfam family "Bacterial small subunit ribosomal RNA", at positions 28 to 507 of the family's 1533-position model. RNAcentral also lists the same sequence under 1 other name. The record is from RNAcentral.